ACUGUCAUAGCUCAGUUGGGAGAGCAGCAGACUUCUUCCUUAGAGAUUCGACAAUCUGAAGGUCCGGUGUUCAAGCCACCGUGAUGCCA
This is a non-coding RNA of Mycena vulgaris, 89 nucleotides long. Lineage: Eukaryota; Fungi; Basidiomycota; Agaricomycetes; Agaricales; Mycenaceae. The record is from the annotation of a GenBank genome assembly.